GCGACCCCAGGUCUGGCGAUAUUACCUACAAAUUUUAAGCAUAUCAGUAAGCAGAGGAAAAUAAACUUACAAGGAUUCCCUUAGUAACGGCGAGCAAACCGUGAAUAGCCCAGCCUUAGAAUCGGGCAACUCCAUCAUCUGAAUUAUAGUUGGAGAAGCAUCCUCAGAGGCGGACAAGGCCCAAGUCCUCUAGAAGAGGGUACCAGAGAGGGUGAGAGUUUUGUUGUGCCUGGACUCUAGCACACCAUAAGGUAUAAGCUACGAGUUGGGUUGUUUGGGAAUGCAGCCCAAAUCGGGCAGUGAAUUUCGUCCAAGGCUAAAUACGGGCGAGAGACCGAUAGCAAACAAGUACCGUGAUGGAAAAAUGAAAAGGACUUUGAAAAAAGAGUCAAAGAGUGUAUAAAAUUAUCGAUAGGGAAGCGUAUGGAGGUUGGUGAUGCGCCCCAGUCAGAUGUGGAACGGCGAUGAGCUGUUUCGCCAAUCGACUUAGGGCAUGGACCAACAUGGAUUGGGGGGGGCUGCCAAAGCCUGAGCUAUAAAUACAUUCGUGGAAUGCGGUUUCCUUAAUUUUGGCAGGCAGUGCGCCCCUAUGGUGUUCUUCGACAUCUGCUCGCUUCAGAUGCUGGCCUAUGGAAUCCCCGUUGGACCCGUCUUUAAACAUAAACCAAAGAUUUUAACAUGUGUGCGGGUGAACCGGCGAGUAGAAACGUAAGGAAUAAGGAAGUUGAUUGGUGGGAUCCCCCUGAGGGGUGCACCGCUGACCGACCUUGAUUUUCAAAGAAGGGUUCGAGUGUGAGAAUACCUUUUAGGACCCAAAAGAUGUUGAACUAUGCCUAAGAGGGGCGAAGCCAGAGAAAACUCUGGCGGAGUCCUGCAGUGAUACUGACGUGCAAAUUAUUCUUCUGACUUGGGUGUAGGGGCAAAAUACUAAUCGAAUUGUCCAGUAGAUAAUUCCCUUUGAAGUUUCCCUCAGGAUAGUUGGAGCUCGCGUGCGAAUUCUCUCAGGUAAAGCCAAUGAUUAGAGGCAUCAGGGGCGCAACUUCCUCAACCUAUUCUCAAACUUUAAAUAGGUAGGAUGGCGUGACUUCUUUGUUGAGCCGUACCAUGGAAUGAAGAGCUCCAAGUGCACCAUUUUUGGUAAGAAGAACUGGCGAUUUGGGAUGAACUAAAAGCUGGGUUACGAUGCCAAAUUGUACACUAACCUAGAUCCCACAAAGGGUAUAGGUCAAUUAAGACAGCAGGAUGGUGGUCAUGGAAGUUAAAAUCCGCUAAGGAGUAUGUAACAACUCACGUACCAAAUCAACUAGCCCUGAAUAUAGAUGGCUCUUAAGAGCGCGACCUACACCCAUCCAUCAGGGCAUGUGCCAAGCCCAGAUGAGUAGGAGGGAACGGCGGUCAUUGCAAAAACCUUAGGCGUAAGCCUAGGUGAAGCAGCCGUCAGUGCAAAUCUUUGUGGUAGUAGAAAAUAUUCAAAUUAGAAAUUUAAAGGCUGAAGAGGGGAAAGGUUCCAUGUCAACAGAACUUGUACAUGGGUUAGUCAAUCCUAAGGGUCGGGGGAACCCCGAUAGAUAGCGUAUUUCGCGCGUAAUCUGAAAGGGAAUUGGGUUAAAAUUCUUGAACCGACAGGUGGAGGUUCAUGUCAAUAUUAUGAAGUCCGAAAAUGUUGGUGGGAGCCUCGGGAAAAGAUAUCUUUUCUAUUUAACAGCCUUCCCACCUUGAAAUUAGCUCAGUUGGAGGUAGGGUCCAGCGGCUUGAAGAGCAUCACACAUUGCGUGAUGUUUGGUGUGCUCCCGGUGGCCUUUGAAAAUCCAGAGAAACGAAUGUCGUCCACGCCCGAUCAUACUUUUAACCACAUCCGAUCUCCAAGGUAAACAUUCUCUGCUCGAUGGAACAAUGUAUGUAAGAAAAGUUAGAAAAAUAGAUCCGUAACUUUAGGAAAAGGAUUGGCUCUAAGGGAUAGGCACAGGAGUCCCAGUCCAGAACUCGUCGGCUGUCGAUGGACUACUCAAGCUGCUUCCAUGAUGAGAGCGGGUCACAGCGGGCUGGCAGAGGGGGUCUGGUAAUGGUUCCUUUGAUGGCCUUCCCCGCGCAUCGAACAACCAACUCAGAAUUGGUAUGGUCAAGGGGAAUUUGACUAUUUAAUUAAAAAAAAACAUUGCUAUGGUCCCAACGCAUGUUAACGCAAUGUGAUUUUUUUCUAGUGCUCUGAAUGUCAAAGUGAAGAAAUUUAACCAAGCAUGGGUAAACGGCGGGAGUAACUAUGACUCUCCUAAGGUAACCAAAUGCCUCAUCAUCUAAUUAGUGACACGCAUGAACAGAUUAAUAAGAUUCCCACUGUCCUUGUCUACUAUCCAGUGAAACCACAGCCAAGGGAAUGGGCUUGGCAGAAUCAGCGGGGAAGGAAGACUCUGUUGAGCUUAACUCUAGUCCGACUUUGUGAAGUGAAUUGAGAGGUGUAUUAUAAGUGGGAGCCGAAAGGGGAAAGUGAAAGGCUACUUUUAAAGUUAUUUUACUUAUUCUGUGAAUCUGAAGCGGGGCACUGCCCCUCUUGUUUUACCCAAGGCUUGCUCUGCGGGCUGAUUCAAGCAGAAUACAUUGUUAGGCAGGGAAUUUCAUUGGGGUGGCACAUCUAUUAAAAGAUAAUGCAGGUGUCCUAAGAUGAGCUCAACAAGAACAAAAAUCUCGUGUGGAACAGAAGGGCAAAAACUCAUUUGAUUCUGAUUUCCAGUACGAAUACAAAUUGUGAAAGCGUGGCCUAAAAAUACUUUAAACCUUCAAAAGUUGAAGAUAGAGGUGUUAGAAAAGUUACCACUGGGAUAACUGGCUUGCGGCAGCCAAGCAUUCAUAGCGACGUUGCUUUUUGACCCUUCGAUGUCAGCUCUUCCUAUCAUUCUGAAGCAGAAUUCACCAAAUGUUGAAUUGUUCACCCACUAAUAGGGAACGUGAGAUGGGUUUAGACCAUUGUAAGAUAGGUUAGUUUUUCCCUACUGAUGACAGUGUCGCAAUAUUAAUUCAAUCUAGUACAACAGGAACCGUUCAUUAACACAAUUGGUUAUCGCGCUUAGUUCAAAAGCCAGUGGCGCAAAGCUACCAUUUGCUAGAUUAUGAUUGAACGCCUCUAAGUCAGAAUUCGGGCUAUAAGCAAUGCAUAUGCCCGCCGUCCACUUGCCGACUUGCAGUAGGGGCCAUGGCCUCCAAGGGCACGUGUCGUUGGCUAAGCCAUCACAAUAGAAGGAUCACGGUGGCUGUCUUAAAGUAAAAUUUCCAUCGAGCGGUGGGUAGAAUCCUUUACAGAAGACUUAAAUACAUGAUUGGGUAUUGUAAGUGGUAGAGUGGCCUUGCUGCCACGAUCCACUGAUAUUAAACCCUUUUUCACUCCGGUUCAG
This 3386-nucleotide ribosomal RNA is filed under the name Capsicum annuum. RNAcentral's name for it is "bacterial LSU rRNA". It matches the Rfam family "Eukaryotic large subunit ribosomal RNA". Lineage: Eukaryota; Viridiplantae; Streptophyta; Magnoliopsida; Solanales; Solanaceae. The record is from RNAcentral.